This 384-nucleotide ribosomal RNA is filed under the name uncultured bacterium. RNAcentral describes it as "bacterial SSU rRNA". It matches the Rfam family "Bacterial small subunit ribosomal RNA", at positions 28 to 419 of the family's 1533-position model. The record is from RNAcentral.
GUCGAAUGCUGGCGGCGUGUCUAAGGCAUGCAAGUCGAACGAUCCCUUUCGGGGAUAGUGGCAAACGGGAGAGUAACACAUUGGUAACUUACCCUGAACUCGCGAACAACCCAUGGAAACGUGGGCUAAUACGCGAUAUCGAUGGGGGGGACGCAAGUCAUUCCCAUUGAAAGUUCCGACGGUUCAGGAGAGGCCUAUGUCCUAUCAGCUAGUUGGUGAGGUAAAAGCUCACCAAGGCUACGACGGGUACCGGGCGUGAGAGCGUGACCCGGCUCACUGGGACUGAGACACUGCCCAGACUCCUACGGGAGGCUGCAGUCGAGAAGUCUUCCGCAAUGCACGAAAGUGUGACGGAGCGACGCCGCGUGUCGGAUGAAGGCCUUC